This 561-nucleotide small RNA is filed under the name Pongo abelii (Sumatran orangutan). Its description in RNAcentral is "retained intron". Lineage: Eukaryota; Metazoa; Chordata; Mammalia; Primates; Hominidae. The record is from RNAcentral.
GAGUUCCAGGUGCAGGCUCCAGCCCGGGGAACUCUGGGAAGAGUGUACCCAGGCAGCAGGAGCUCAGAAAAGCACAGCCCUGACAGUGCCUGCUCUGUGGAUUACAGCAGCAGCUGCCUUUCCAGCCCGGAGCAUCCCACUGAAGACUCUGAGAGCACGGAGCCCCUCAGUGUGGAUGGCAUCUCCUCAGACCUUGAAGAGCCAGCUGAGGGCGAUGAAGAAGAGGAAGAGGAGGGAGGCAUGGGCCCCUAUGGGCUACAGGAGGGCAGCCCCCAGACUCCAGACCAGGAGCAGUUUCUAAAACAGCACUUUGAGACUCUGGCCAAUGGAGCUGCUCCAGGGGCCCCAGUGAAGGUGCCAGAGAGGUCAGAGUCUCGGAGUAUCUCUUCACGAUUCCUGUUGCAAGUACAGACCCGCCCACUCAGGUACAGAGGCCCCCUACCCCCCCAGCAGCAGCUCCGGCUCUCCUGGCCUCCCAGGGCUGCUGCCCUCUCCUCUCCAGUGUUCUGUCUCUCCAUGCCCGGGGUGUUUUGCACUCCCGGCUUUGGGCUAACUGGCCUU